ACGUUAGCGGCGGACGGGUGAGUAACACGUGGGUAACCUACCUAUAAGACUGGGAUAACUUCGGGAAACCGGAGCUAAUACCGGAUAAUAUUUCGAACCGCAUGGUUCGAUAGUGAAAGAUGGUUUUGCUAUCACUUAUAGAUGGACCCGCACCGUAUUAGCUAGUUGGUAAGGUAACGGCUUACCAAGGCGACGAUACGUAGCCGACCUGAGAGGGUGAUCUGCCACACUGGAACUUAGACACGGUCCAGACUCCUACGGGAGGCAGCAGGA
This 273-nucleotide ribosomal RNA is filed under the name uncultured Staphylococcus sp. RNAcentral describes it as "partial 16S ribosomal RNA". It matches the Rfam family "Bacterial small subunit ribosomal RNA", at positions 89 to 354 of the family's 1533-position model. The record is from RNAcentral. Lineage: Bacteria; Bacillati; Bacillota; Bacilli; Caryophanales; Staphylococcaceae.